GAUGAACGCUGGCGGCGUGCCUAAUACAUGCAAGUCGAGCGAACAGACGAGGAGCUUGCUCCUCUGAGGUUAGUGGCGGACGGGUGAGUAACACGUGGAUAACCUACCUUUUAGCCUGGGAUAACUUUGGGAAACCGGAGCUAAUACCGGAUAAUAUAUUGAACCACAUGGUUUAUUAGUGAAAGACGGAUUUGCUGCACUAUAUGGAUGACUCCGCGCUGCAUUAGCUAGUAGGUAAGGUAACGGCUUACCAAGGCGACGAUGCGUAGCCGACCUGAGAGGGUGAUCGGCCACACUGGAACUGAGACACGGCCCAGACUCCUACGGGAGGCAGCAGUAGGGAAUCUUCCGCAAUGGGCGAAAGCCUGACGGAGCAACGCCGCGUGAGUGAUGAAGGUCUUCGGAUCGUAAAGCUCUGUUAUUAGUGAAGAACAAAUGUGUAAGUAACUAGGCACGUCUUGACGGUAACUAAUCAAAAAGCCGCGGCUAACUACGUG
RNAcentral lists this ribosomal RNA (497 nucleotides) under uncultured bacterium. RNAcentral's name for it is "partial 16S ribosomal RNA". It matches the Rfam family "Bacterial small subunit ribosomal RNA", at positions 28 to 507 of the family's 1533-position model. The record is from RNAcentral.